UACGUAGGGUGCGAGCGUUAAUCGGAAUUACUGGGCGUAAAGCGUGCGCAGGCGGUUUGUUAAGAUAGGCGUGAAAUCCCCGGGCUCAACCUGGGAACUGCGUUUAUGACUGGCAAGCUAGAGUAUGGCAGAGGGGGGUGGAAUUCCACGUGUAGCAGUGAAAUGCGUAGAGAUGUGGAGGAACACCGAUGGCGAAGGCAGCCCCCUGGGCCAAUACUGACGCUCAUGCACGAAAGCGUGGGUAGCAAACAGG
Molecule: ribosomal RNA, 253 nt
Filed under: uncultured bacterium
Lineage: Bacteria
Description: partial 16S ribosomal RNA
Rfam family: Bacterial small subunit ribosomal RNA
Source: RNAcentral